CUACGGGUCCAGCAGUGGGGAAUAUUCGGCAAUGGGCGAAAGCCUGACCGAGCCAUGCCGCGUGAGUGAUGAAGGCCUUAGGGUUGUAAAACUCUUUCGCCGGUGAAGAUAAUGACGGUAACCGGUAAAGAAGCCCCGGCUAAUUUCGUGCCAGCAGCCGCGGUAAUACGAAAGGGGCAAGCAUUGUUCGGAAUUACUGGGCGUAAAGCGCGCGUAGGCGGCCUAUCAAGUUAGGGGUGAAAUCCCGGAGCUCAACUCCGGAACUGCCUCUAAAACUGAUAAGCUAGAGGAUGCGAGAGGAAAGUGGAAUUCCGAGUGUAGAGGUGAAAUUCGUAGAUAUUCGGAAGAACACCAGUGGCGAAGGCGACUUUCUGGCGCAUAUCUGACGCUGAGGUGCGAAAGCGUGGGGAGCAAACAGGAUUAGAUACCCGAGUAGUC
This 438-nucleotide ribosomal RNA is filed under the name uncultured bacterium. Its description in RNAcentral is "partial 16S ribosomal RNA". It matches the Rfam family "Bacterial small subunit ribosomal RNA", at positions 339 to 795 of the family's 1533-position model. The record is from RNAcentral.